GGUUACGUCACUCACGCUGAGACUCAGCGGGGCUGGACCAAUGAAGGAGGUCCACCCAUUCACUGCAUCAGAACCCGACUCUAGCAGCGGUCAGUUGAACAGAAUUCGGAGGAGCGGCUGAAAACUGCGGUUUGACAUAUAAGUAUACCAGAGGAAGAUAAAAACAAAAGGAUGUCGUACCCUGCCUAUGGAUAUGAGUGGAGGUCGGGCAGCCGAGGGGGUGGCUACGAUUCCUGGGAUAAAAAACACUACGGCACAGACCCCAGGGAUAUACACAUGAAUACGUUAGGAAAGGGUUCAGAUUCGCAUUUAGUGCAGAUGCAGCCCAGUGAAAUCUUUACUGAGGUGCGGCCAUCUUGGAGCUGGUGUUCCAUGGGCUGGGCCGUAUUCGUCACCCUCUGCUGUUGGCCUUUCAACCUCCUCGGCGCCUGCGGCGUCCUCUGCUCCAUGCUCAGUUAUACCGACCACAAGAGCCAAGACUACGAGCGCUCUCGGUACAAGAGGCGCUGCGCGUGGGGCUGCACCAUAGCGGGGCUUAUCUUGGGAUUUAUCGUCAUCACCCUAGCGGUCGUCCUAGUCUUUGUUGUAUAUCCAACCCUCAUACCUGGACUAAAGGAUUCAGAAGCCUACAAAAACUGGGACAUCAGGCCUUAGUUUAUAUAUACUAGUGAUUAUAUAUUAUAUUUUAUAUAACUAUCGGUCAUGGACUUUCCAUUUGUCUUUUUCGCUUCAGUUGGUAAAUUUAUUGCAAAACACGAGGAUACCUAGAUGCAGAAAAAACACUGAAUAGAAGCUGAAGUUUAUGGUCAGAGAGCGGAGGAAACACCUGCCAUAGAAUUCAUUGUCUUCACGGAGAUCUCAUCUUACCAAUGCAAAAAUUAUUCAAGAUGGCAUCAUGGAGUGACUAACAGAGCGCAACGUGUGUAAUGUGUGUAUAAACUUUUGGACUGUGUGCCUUUCCGCAAAAAAUCUUAUAUAGACGGACGACAGGAGGAGCUCAUAUACGUCAAAAGGAAUAUCUAGAUAAUUGUUUCCUAUUUUAGUCAUACCUCGUGUUCGUGGAGGGGAAUGUAAUGGUCAGGUCUUUAAUCGAUAUGGACUUUCGUUUUACUUCGGAUUACUUGGGAUCCACUUUCGUUUUCAUUAAAGACAAGGCAAUUACAACUGUAUUGAAGCUUAUGUAAAGUACAAGCUCAAGGAACUCUUCGAAACAUUCCUAUGCUUAAGUUGACUGACAAGUUUUUUUAGAAACAUUAUUCGCGACAAAAGUGUAAGUCGCAGAAACUGGUUUAGACCUGACACCGGAGUUUUUGUAGCUACUGAAUGAUCAUUUACCAGAUUUUUAUUUACUCUAUCUUCCUGAACAAACAUUGAAAAAUGCAAAUUUUCCCAUGCGCAGAUUUUGCUACUGUCACACCCAAUUUCUUAGAGCACUUUUACAAUCGACAAACACAACUAGUCAGAAACGUUGUACUGGCUGAACAGAUUUGUAUGAAAAAGAAGAACCACCCUGGGAUGCGUUACCCGUUUUAAUGCGUGGGGCUUUCUUAAAAUUGCACUGAAGUCGCACAGGCAUAUGUAUAUUAAUAGAAUUUAUCUUUGUGACGUCAGUGUCUGUGACGUCAAUGCCAGUUCAUUGUGACGUCACAAAAUGAUGGCUUCCAUUGUCCAUUGUUAUAUUAAUGUAGAUCUUUAUGACUAAUAUGUUGUACAUAUUUCAACAAAAUAAAACUUUAACUGCCUUAUCGACAAUGGUUCCUUUUCGGGAGACAUCGUUUUGUAGAAUGUGAAAACUCGACAAUUUGAACCCUGAUGUAGUAUCUUUAGCUGUUAUAAUCUCUCUAGCUCAUAUUUUACUAUGAAAGUCUGACUGACAUUGAGUCGGGCGUCUCACACAGUUAGCCAAAGUAGAAAGUUUGCUAAGUGCUUUUAAUAUUAAUGCAUACAAUUGAUAUUUUUUAAUAAAAUCAAAUAUACGGGAAUAAUAAAAUA
RNAcentral lists this unclassified non-coding RNA (1992 nucleotides) under Lingula anatina. RNAcentral's name for it is "uncharacterized LOC106153841, transcript variant X8". Lineage: Eukaryota; Metazoa; Brachiopoda; Lingulata; Lingulida; Lingulidae. The record is from RNAcentral.